AGGCAGUGAGCUGAAGUACUGCAGUAAAAACCCGUCUAACAAGCUGCUGACAGCGCGCUGAAUCAGGGGCAGAAGCAAAGAAAACCGUGGAGAUGGAUUUAAGUAUGCCCCUCGUCAUUAGCCUCAACAUAAUCAAAUCAUUUUACUCAUUCAGAAGUUCUCGGGGGCCCGGGCUGGGAUGACGAACGCUGUCGAGAAGGCUUCACUCUCGCUCUGCCAGGAGAGCUGCUGCUGUCGCUGCUGUGCCGUGUGCUGCUGCUGCCAAACAAGAGCUCAAAAGUGAUUUCUUCCACAGUGUGCAGCACUUUGUCCUGAUUGUGUCCAAGGUCAGGAUGCUUUUCAUGCUGUUAUCUCCCCCUGGAGGUCAGUGGAGGAAGAACACAAUCAGUUCCCACUGUAUCCCCCAUUCAGGGUUUGUGGUACAAAGAAAUAAAGCUGGCCUUGUUCAGUUCAAUUAUCAUUGGACACUUGACAACAACAGACAGACUGAAGCAGACUGAUACGUUUUAAGAAGAUAUGUCACAGGAGUCCACCCUUUAUUCCCCAGUCUAAUGUACACGAACAUCCUCUACCUUCAAAUUGUGUGUGUGUAAAUGCAAAUAAGUGCAUAUUUAUGUAUAUAAUUUGUACCUAAUUUUAUAUCAAAAUAUAACAUAGAUAUUUAUAUGUGUGUUAAUUUGUGCCCAUAUGAAUGAUUAGAUAAAGGUUUUAUUAUUGUGUCAUACAUUGGCUUACGAGAAAAUGUAUUGCGUACAAAAAACCCAAAUAAUAAACCAAUUUAUACAAUUUU
Dicentrarchus labrax (European seabass) is the source of this 790-nucleotide long non-coding RNA. RefSeq lists it as uncharacterized. The transcript is spliced from 3 exons. The record is from RefSeq and is a predicted model, not a curated record. NCBI's taxonomy places the organism in Eukaryota, Metazoa, Chordata, Actinopteri, Moronidae.